CACGUAGUUAGCCGGUGCUUAUUCUUCCGGUACCGUCAUCCCCCCGCCGUAUUAGGGCAAGGGAUUUCUUUCCGGACAAAAGUGCUUUACAACCCGAAGGCCUUCUUCACACACGCGGCAUUGCUGGAUCAGGGUUGCCCCCAUUGUCCAAAAUUCCCCACUGCUGCCUCCCGUAGGAGUCUGGGCCGUGUCUCAGUCCCAGUGUGGCUGAUCGUCCUCUCAGACCAGCUACUGAUCGUCGCCUUGGUGGGCCUUUACCCCACCAACUAGCUAAUCAGACAUCGGCCGCUCCUAUCGCGCGAGGCCUUACGGUCCCCCGCUUUCACCCUCAGGUCGUAUGCGGUAUUAGCUAAUCUUUCGACUAGUUAUCCCCCAGACAGGGCACGUUCCGAUGUAUUACUCACCCGUUCGCCACUCGCCACCAGGAUUGCCCCCGUGCUGCCGUUCGACUUGCAUGUGUAAGGCAUGCCGCCAGCGUUCAAUCUGAGCCAGGAUCAAACUCU
Molecule: ribosomal RNA, 503 nt
Filed under: uncultured Cupriavidus sp.
Lineage: Bacteria; Pseudomonadati; Pseudomonadota; Betaproteobacteria; Burkholderiales; Burkholderiaceae
Description: partial 16S ribosomal RNA
Source: RNAcentral